ACGGCUACCUUGUUACGACUUCACCCCAGUCAUGAAUCACAAAGUGGUAAGCGCCCUCCCGAAGGUUAAGCUACCUACUUCUUUUGCAACCCACUCCCAUGGUGUGACGGGCGGUGUGUACAAGGCCCGGGAACGUAUUCACCGUGGCAUUCUGAUCCACGAUUACUAGCGAUUCCGACUUCAUGGAGUCGAGUUGCAGACUCCAAUCCGGACUACGACGCACUUUAUGAGGUCCGCUUGCUCUCGCGAGGUCGCUUCUCUUUGUAUGCGCCAUUGUAGCACGUGUGUAGCCCUACUCGUAAGGGCCAUGAUGACUUGACGUCA
RNAcentral lists this ribosomal RNA (324 nucleotides) under uncultured bacterium. RNAcentral's name for it is "partial 16S ribosomal RNA". The record is from RNAcentral.